This 253-nucleotide ribosomal RNA is filed under the name uncultured bacterium. Its description in RNAcentral is "partial 16S ribosomal RNA". It matches the Rfam family "Bacterial small subunit ribosomal RNA", at positions 524 to 776 of the family's 1533-position model. The record is from RNAcentral.
UACGAAGGGGGCUAGCGUUGCUCGGAAUCACUGGGCGUAAAGGGUGCGUAGGCGGGUCUUUAAGUCAGGGGUGAAAUCCUGGAGCUCAACUCCAGAACUGCCUUUGAUACUGGGAAGCUUGAGUCCGGAAGAGGUGAGUGGAACUCCGAGUGUAGAGGUGAAAUUCGUAGAUAUUCGGAAGAACACCAGUGGCGAAGGCGGCUCACUGGUCCGGUACUGACGCUGAGGUGCGAAAGCGUGGGGAGCGAACAGG